UACGGAGGGUGCAAGCGUUAUCCGGAUUCACUGGGUUUAAAGGGUGCGUAGGAGGGCAGGUAAGUCAGUGGUGAAAUCUCCGAGCUUAACUUGGAAACUGCCGUUGAUACUAUCUGCCUUGAAUAUUGUGGAGGUGAGCGGAAUAUGUCAUGUAGCGGUGAAAUGCUUAGAUAUGACAUAGAACACCAAGUGCGAAGGCAGCUCGCUACACAUAUAUUGACUCUGAGGCACGAAAGCGUGGGGAUCAAACAGG
RNAcentral lists this ribosomal RNA (253 nucleotides) under uncultured bacterium. Its description in RNAcentral is "partial 16S ribosomal RNA". It matches the Rfam family "Bacterial small subunit ribosomal RNA", at positions 524 to 776 of the family's 1533-position model. The record is from RNAcentral.